RNAcentral lists this ribosomal RNA (443 nucleotides) under uncultured bacterium. Its description in RNAcentral is "bacterial SSU rRNA". It matches the Rfam family "Bacterial small subunit ribosomal RNA", at positions 339 to 796 of the family's 1533-position model. The record is from RNAcentral.
CUACGGGAGGCAGCAGUUGGGAAUCUUAGGCAAUGGACGAAAGUCUGACCUAGCGACGCCGCGUGAGGGAAGAAGGCCUUCGGGUUGUAAACCUCUGUCAUGGGGGAAGAAGGAAGUGACGGUACCCCAAGAGGAAGCCCCUGCUAACUACGUGCCAGCAGCCGCGGUAAUACGUAGGGGGCUAGCGUUAUCCGGAAUUAUUGGGCGUAAAGGGCGAGUAGGCGGUUUGUUAAGUCAGGUGUGAAAUUUCAGGGCUCAACCCUGAAACUGCGCUUGAAACUGGCAGGCUAGAGGACAGGAGAGGGAAGUGGAAUUCCCGGUGUAGCGGUGAAAUGGGUAGAUAUCGGGAGGAACACCAGUGGCGGAGGCGGCUUCCUGGACUGUACCUGAAGCUGAUGGGCCAAAGCUGGGGGAACAAACAGGAUUAGAAACCCUUGUAGUCC